This 275-nucleotide ribosomal RNA is filed under the name uncultured soil bacterium. RNAcentral's name for it is "partial 16S ribosomal RNA". It matches the Rfam family "Bacterial small subunit ribosomal RNA", at positions 26 to 285 of the family's 1533-position model. The record is from RNAcentral.
AGAAUCAACGCUGGCGGCGUGCCUCAGACAUGCAAGUCGAACGCGAAAGUCCCCUUCGGGGGCAAGUAGAGUGGCGCACGGGUGAGUAACACGUAGGUAAUCUACCUUCGGAUGGGGAAUAACAAUCGGAAACGGUUGCUAAUACCGCAUAAUGCAGCGGCACCUAAUGGUGACAGUUGUUAAAGCGGGGGAUCGAAAGACCUCGCGUCUGAAGAGGAGCCUGCGGCGGAUUAGCUAGUUGGUAAGGUAACGGCUUACCAAGGCGACGAUCCGUA